Molecule: ribosomal RNA, 253 nt
Filed under: uncultured bacterium
Lineage: Bacteria
Description: partial 16S ribosomal RNA
Rfam family: Bacterial small subunit ribosomal RNA
Source: RNAcentral
GACGAACCGAGCGAACGUUGUUCGGAAUCACUGGGCUUAAAGCGUGUGUAGGCGGACUUGUAAGUAUCUUGUGAAAUCCCACGGCUCAACCGUGGAACUGCUUGGUAUACUGCUUGUCUUGAGCCACUUAGGGGCUACCGGAACAAAUGGUGGAGCGGUGAAAUGCGUAGAUAUCAUGUGGAACGCCAAUGGUGAAAACAGGUAGCUGGGAGUGUGCUGACGCUGAGACACGAAAGCCAGGGGAGCGAACGGG